CAGGGCAUAUUUGAUCUUCACUAAGACUCUACCUUUUUAUUGAUUUUUUUUUUUUUUUUUGUCAUAGCCUUUGUAAUUUACAACCACCCAAUCCAUGGAGUUUUAUUUAUUUUACCUUUUUGGUCAAGAGAGCAUUUCACCUUUGCACUUUGAAUGGACCAUGUGACAAAAAAAACACACACACACACACACACAUUCGG
Molecule: long non-coding RNA, 200 nt
Filed under: Capsella rubella
Lineage: Eukaryota; Viridiplantae; Streptophyta; Magnoliopsida; Brassicales; Brassicaceae
Description: long non-coding RNA (CRUB_LNC004719)
Source: RNAcentral